AGGGCACCACCAGGAGUGGAGCCUGCGGCUUAAUUUGACUCAACACGGGAAAACUCACCCGGCCCGGACACCGUAAGGAUUGACAGAUUGAGAGCUCUUUCUUGAUUCGGUGGUUGGUGGUGCAUGGCCGUUCUUAGUUGGUGGAGCGAUUUGUCUGGUUUAUUCCGAUAACGAGCGAGACUCUAGCCUACUAAAUAGUGACCGGAUAGCUUGGUCCGGGUCACUUCUUAGAGGGACAAGCGGUGUUCAGCCGCAAUAAGUUGAGCAAUAACAGGUCUGCGAUGCCCUUAGAUGUCCGGGGCUGCACGCGCGCUACACUGGAGGAAUCAGCGUGCUUGACCCAUUGCCGAAAGGCAUUGGUAAACCCUUGAAAAUCCUCCGUGAUCGGGAUCGGGAAUUGCAAUUAUUUCCCUUGAACGAGGAAUUCCCAGUAAGUGUGAGUCAUCAGCUCACGUUGAUUACGUCCCUGCCCUUUGUACACACCGCCCGUCGCUGCCCGGGACUGAGCCGUUUCGAGAA
This 519-nucleotide ribosomal RNA is filed under the name uncultured eukaryote. RNAcentral's name for it is "SSU rRNA". It matches the Rfam family "Eukaryotic small subunit ribosomal RNA", at positions 1161 to 1705 of the family's 1831-position model. The record is from RNAcentral.